UACAAGUUAACCUGGGACGCGGCUAACUACUGCGGUGUUGAGAUGGAACUCUCGGAACACAUUUGGUUGCCAGACUUAGUGCUUAGUAAUUGAAAUGAAUAUUAUGAGCUGAUUAGCAGCGGUCCGACUUAUUACGGAAAUAUUUCCACUGUUGCAGAGCGCGAAAAACUUAAGAAGAUCCCAUAACCAUUAGAAGUGUCCCAAGUGCCUACUUCUACCCAUUUAGCCUGUGGCCAUAUAUCUAGCAGACUGUAGUGAAGAUUACGAGAGAUCAAGAAGAAAGAUGAAAUAUGUUUUCUAGGAUUAUUUAUAGGGA
This is a long non-coding RNA of Pieris rapae (cabbage white), 316 nucleotides long. RefSeq lists it as uncharacterized. Lineage: Eukaryota; Metazoa; Arthropoda; Insecta; Lepidoptera; Pieridae. The transcript has 3 exons. The record is from RefSeq and is a predicted model, not a curated record.